CUUGUGCAGCUAUACUCCAGAGGAACUUUGAAAAAGAAAUGACAAGCAAUGAAGAAUCACAACUGAUUGAACAAUCAGUGUGGGCUGAACUUUUCUGAGAAACUUAUGUUUUUCACCUUGUACUUUCUUGCUCAUGUUUUAGUAGAAGUGAGGAGUGACUAGUUUUAGAUUCUUAAAUGUCACUGCUCCCCUCUUCCUCUCCUUUCUCUGUCCCCACAGGCUGCCUGGGGAGGUGGGCUGCUUAUGUCCCGGAAGCACCGCCAUAAACUCAAUGGCAUAGAAAGGGCCAACUCAGUCACCUGGAACCCUCACAAGAUGAUGGGCGUGCUGUUGCAGUGCUCUGCCAUUCUCGUCAAGGAAAAGGGUAUACUCCAAGGAUGCAACCAGAUGUGUGCAGGAUACCUCUUCCAGCCAGACAAGCAGUAUGAUGUCUCCUAUGACACCGGGGACAAGGCAAUUCAGUGUGGCCGCCACGUGGAUAUCUUCAAGUUCUGGCUGAUGUGGAAAGCAAAGGGCACAGUGGGAUUUGAAAACCAGAUCAACAAAUGCCUGGAACUGGCUGAAUACCUCUAUGCCAAGAUUAAAAACAGAGAAGAAUUUGAGAUGGUUUUCAAUGGCGAGCCUGAGCACACAAACGUCUGUUUUUGGUAUAUUCCACAAAGCCUCAGGGGUGUGCCAGACAGCCCUCAACGACGGGAAAAGCUACACAAGGUGGCUCCAAAAAUCAAAGCCCUGAUGAUGGAGUCAGGCACGACCAUGGUUGGCUACCAGCCCCAGGGGGACAAGGCCAACUUCUUCCGGAUGGUCAUCUCCAACCCAGCCGCUACCCAGUCUGACAUUGACUUCCUCAUUGAGGAGAUAGAAAGACUGGGCCAGGAUCUGUAAUCAUCCUUUGCAGAACAUGAGUUUAUGGGAAUGCCUUUUCCCUCUGGCACUGCAGAACAAACCUCUAUAUGUUGCUGAAACACAUAGGCCAUUUCAUUGAGGGAAAACAUAAUAUCUUGAAGAAUAUUGUUAAAACCUUACUUAAAGCUUGUUUGUUAUAGUUAGCAGGAAAUAGUGUUCUUUUUAAAAAGUUGCACAUUAGGAACAGAGUAUAUAUGUACAGUUAUACAUACCUCUCUCUAUAUAUACAUGUAUAGUGAGUGUGGCUUAGUAAUAGAUCACAGCAUGUUUCCCGCUCCAAGAGAAUUCACUUUACCUUCAGCAGUUACCGAGGAGCUAAACAUGCUGCCAACCAGCUUGUCCAACAACUC
This 1256-nucleotide small RNA is filed under the name Pongo abelii (Sumatran orangutan). Its description in RNAcentral is "retained intron". The record is from RNAcentral. Lineage: Eukaryota; Metazoa; Chordata; Mammalia; Primates; Hominidae.